This 76-nucleotide transfer RNA is filed under the name Natronospira proteinivora. Its description in RNAcentral is "tRNA-Thr". It matches the Rfam family "tRNA". From Rfam's summary of the family: Transfer RNA (tRNA) molecules are approximately 80 nucleotides in length. RNAcentral also lists the same sequence under 1 other name. Lineage: Bacteria; Pseudomonadati; Pseudomonadota; Gammaproteobacteria; Natronospirales; Natronospiraceae. The record is from RNAcentral.
GCCGGAAUAGCUCAGCUGGUAGAGCAGCGCAUUCGUAAUGCGAAGGUCGGAGGUUCGACUCCUCUUUCCGGCACCA